CGGCAACAGCUCAAAUUUGAAAUCUGGCUUUCGGGUCCGAAUUGUAAUUUGUAGAGGAUGCUUUCGGCGCGGUGCCUUCCGAGUUCCCUGGAACGGGACGCCUUAGAGGGUGAGAGCCCCGUACGGUUGGAUACCAAGCCUCUGUAAAGCUCCUUCGAC
Molecule: ribosomal RNA, 159 nt
Filed under: Xylariales sp.
Lineage: Eukaryota; Fungi; Ascomycota; Sordariomycetes; Xylariales
Description: partial large subunit ribosomal RNA
Rfam family: Eukaryotic large subunit ribosomal RNA
Source: RNAcentral